Molecule: transfer RNA, 68 nt
Filed under: Ophioleila elegans
Lineage: Eukaryota; Metazoa; Echinodermata; Ophiuroidea; Amphilepidida; Hemieuryalidae
Description: tRNA-Glu
Source: RNAcentral
AUCUGCAUAGUUUAAAAUUUAAAAACGGUGAGCUUUCUAUUCACAGAUCUUCAAUAGCGGUGUAGAUU